Molecule: ribosomal RNA, 464 nt
Filed under: uncultured bacterium
Lineage: Bacteria
Description: partial 16S ribosomal RNA
Rfam family: Bacterial small subunit ribosomal RNA
Source: RNAcentral
CUACGGGUGGCUGCAGUGGGGAAUAUUGCACAAUGGGCGCAAGCCUGAUGCAGCCAUGCCGCGUGUAUGAAGAAGGCCUUCGGGUUGUAAAGUACUUUCAGCGGGGAGGAAGGGAGUAAAGUUAAUACCUUUGCUCAUUGACGUUACCCGCAGAAGAAGCACCGGCUAACUCCGUGCCAGCAGCCGCGGUAAUACGGAGGGUGCAAGCGUUAAUCGGAAUUACUGGGCGUAAAGCGCACGCAGGCGGUUUGUUAAGUCAGAUGUGAAAUCCCCGGGCUCAACCUGGGAACUGCAUCUGAUACUGGCAAGCUUGAGUCUCGUAGAGGGGGGUAGAAUUCCAGGUGUAGCGGUGAAAUGCGUAGAGAUCUGGAGGAAUACCGGUGGCGAAGGCGGCCCCCUGGACGAUGACUGACGCUCAGGUGCGAAAGCGUGGGGAGCAAACAGGAUUAGAUACCCUUGUAGUC